GAUAUCAAUUUUAGAUUCAAAGAGAUGAAAUUCUUUGCAAGGGAUGGAAAUUUGCAUUCUCUGAAGACACACGCAAUAUUGCAUCACGCAACGACGAGAGAAUUAGACGAUAAAUUCGGAGAGCAGGAGGAGUUCGGUCUUUGAAGUCUCGGCGGAGAAGUAGACUGGUAACUCCCAGAAUGCCUUGCGGCCUCACAGAAGCCACUGAAACCGUAAGUAAUAGAGAGAAAGCACUUGUGGCGGACCACAGAUCUCUGCUCUCGCAAUCGGGAUACAGCACGCUACAGAUUUUCACGUACUCGGUGAAGAGCCAGGAUAAAGACUGUGCUUCAAAUAAUAAGACUAAGAUGCACAACUUCAAGCACAUUGUGAAUGUAAAUGUAAGGGGGGAAAAAAUUAU
This is a long non-coding RNA of Anguilla anguilla (European eel), 400 nucleotides long. RefSeq lists it as uncharacterized. The transcript has 3 exons. The record is from RefSeq and is a predicted model, not a curated record. Lineage: Eukaryota; Metazoa; Chordata; Actinopteri; Anguilliformes; Anguillidae.